Molecule: ribosomal RNA, 253 nt
Filed under: uncultured bacterium
Lineage: Bacteria
Description: partial 16S ribosomal RNA
Rfam family: Bacterial small subunit ribosomal RNA
Source: RNAcentral
UACAGAGGGGGCAAGCGUUGUUCGGAAUUACUGGGCGUAAAGGGCGCGUAGGCGGCCUUCUAAGUCGAACGUGAAAUCCCCGGGCUCAACCCGGGAACUGCGUCCGAUACUGGAAGGCUUGAAUCCGGGAGAGGGAUGCGGAAUUCCAGGUGUAGCGGUGAAAUGCGCAGAUAUCAGGAAGAACACCCGUGGCUAAGGCGGCUCUCUAGUACGGUACUGACGCUGAGACACGAAAGCGUGGGGAGCAAACAGG